This 326-nucleotide ribosomal RNA is filed under the name uncultured eukaryote. Its description in RNAcentral is "partial 18S ribosomal RNA". It matches the Rfam family "Eukaryotic small subunit ribosomal RNA", at positions 1470 to 1796 of the family's 1831-position model. The record is from RNAcentral.
CCCUUAGAUGUUCUGGGCCGCACGCGCGCUACACUGAUGCAUUCAACGAGUUCCUACCUUGGCCGAGAGGCCUGGGCAAUCUUUUGAACUUGCAUCGUGAUAGGGAUAGAUUAUUGCAAUUAUUAAUCUUGAACGAGGAAUUCCUAGUAAACGCAGAUCAUCAAUCUGCAUUGAUUACGUCCCUGCCCUUUGCACACACCGCCCGUCGCACCUACCGAUUGAAUGGUCCGGUGAAGCCUCGGGAUUGUGGUUAGUUUCCUUCAUUGGAAGUUAGCCGCGAGAACUUGUCUAAACCUUAUCAUUUAGAGGAAGGUGAAGUCGUAACA